This is a transfer RNA of Nonlabens spongiae, 82 nucleotides long. It matches the Rfam family "tRNA". Rfam says of the family: Transfer RNA (tRNA) molecules are approximately 80 nucleotides in length. Their secondary structure includes four short double-helical elements and three loops (D, anti-codon, and T loops). Further hydrogen bonds mediate the characteristic L-shaped molecular structure. tRNAs have two regions of fundamental functional importance: the anti-codon, which is responsible for specific mRNA codon recognition, and the 3' end, to which the tRNAs corresponding amino acid is attached (by aminoacyl-tRNA synthetases). tRNAs cope with the degeneracy of the genetic code in two manners: having more than one tRNA (with a specific anti-codon) for a particular amino acid; and 'wobble' base-pairing, i.e. permitting non-standard base-pairing at the 3rd anti-codon position. The record is from Rfam. NCBI's taxonomy places the organism in Bacteria, Pseudomonadati, Bacteroidota, Flavobacteriia, Flavobacteriales, Flavobacteriaceae.
GCGGAUGUGGUGGAACUGGUAGACACGUCAGACUUAGGAUCUGAUGCCGCGAGGUGUGCAGGUUCGAUUCCUGUCAUCCGCA